CAAUAGCGUAUAUUAAAGUUGUUGCAGUUAAAAAGCUCGUAGUCGGAUUUUGGCAUCAUGCCGAACUGUCGGCCGAUUGGUUUGUACGGUUUGGCGGGUGCUCUCCUUCCGGAGGCUCGUUUCCUCUUUCAUUAGAGGGUUCGAUGGUUCCGGGUCUUUUACUUUGAAAAAAUUAGAGUGUUCAAAGCGGGCUUACGCUUGAAUAUUUCAGCAUGGAAUAACACUAUAGGACUCCUGUCCUAUUUCGUUGGUCUCGGGACGGGAGUAAUGAUUAAGAGGAACAGUUGGGGGCAUUCGUAUUUCAUUGUCAGAGGUGAAAUUCUUGGAUUUAUGAAAGACGAACUUCUGCGAAAGCAUUUGCCAAGGAUGUUUUCAUUAAUCAAGAACGAAAGUUGGGGGCUCGAAGAUGAUUAGAU
RNAcentral lists this ribosomal RNA (416 nucleotides) under uncultured eukaryote. RNAcentral describes it as "bacterial SSU rRNA". It matches the Rfam family "Eukaryotic small subunit ribosomal RNA", at positions 592 to 1013 of the family's 1831-position model. The record is from RNAcentral.